CUCAGGAGACUGAGGCAGGAGAAUUGCUUGAACCCAGGAGGCGGAGGUUGUGGUGACCCAGGGUCAUGCUACUGCACUCCAGCCUGGGCAACAGAGCAAGACCCUGUCUCCAAAAGGAAAAAA
Molecule: long non-coding RNA, 123 nt
Organism: Sapajus apella (tufted capuchin)
Lineage: Eukaryota; Metazoa; Chordata; Mammalia; Primates; Cebidae
Exons: 2
Source: RefSeq, a predicted model, not a curated record